AAUAUUCAUUCAGAUGUUUUCUGACUCUAAAUAGUCUUUUCUCAUUUCUUAUGUUUUCUAAUUUACAUUUAAAACAUUUUCAGCUAUUUUCCAACUUCUUCUGUGUGAACAUCAGCUUUCAAAAGUUCUGCACUUUUGUUUUCAGGUGAAAAUUUCUGUAUUUUUCAUCUCAUUCAACAUUUUUAACUUAAAAUUCAGCAAUUAAUUCAUUUCAGUGCAUACAUUCAGAUUCAAGCAUUCA
RNAcentral lists this long non-coding RNA (241 nucleotides) under Oreochromis niloticus (Nile tilapia). RNAcentral describes it as "lncRNA (ENSONIG00000030551.1)". The record is from RNAcentral. Lineage: Eukaryota; Metazoa; Chordata; Actinopteri; Cichliformes; Cichlidae.